This 281-nucleotide long non-coding RNA is filed under the name Vigna radiata. RNAcentral describes it as "long non-coding RNA (VRAD_LNC000365)". The record is from RNAcentral. Lineage: Eukaryota; Viridiplantae; Streptophyta; Magnoliopsida; Fabales; Fabaceae.
ACACCCCACAUAACCCCUUCCUUCCUUACAUACCAUUCCUCCCUUUAAGUUCCAACAUUAUACUUCUCAUUUUUAUUUAUUCUUCUUUUCCAUACUUCCAUACAAGCUGUGAGCUCCAACCCAACCACCACUUCUUCAUCUUUAAUCUCUCUCCAAACCAUACCCUAGUUCAUAACCAUCCUCACUAAAUCUCUCUCUUUCUCAUUCAAAUAUAACUCCUAACGCCACUCACUCCUCUUCUUUCCUAACCAUAUUUCUUCUUCUCUCUUACGAUUUAGUUU